CGGUUGAUCCUGCCGGACCCUACUGCUAUCGGGGUGGGACUAAAACAUGCAAGUCGAGCGUCUCCCAACAUGUUGUGGAGGCGCGGCGUACGGCUCAGUAACACGUGGCCAACCUACCCUUAGGACGGGAACACCCCCGGGAAACCACGCACAGACCUUGACCACAUAAACACAAAUUCUCCAAAAAUCCAAAAACCCCAUAACACAAACAAACACUUCACUACACCGCCUUGCCGAUUUCUAAGCUGGCAAAGGCUAUCUCAAACUAACAAAAACCUACAUGCAACUUUCUAAGAAUAGAAACUUAAGGCUCUGGCGUAGCCCAAAACUGGGGUUAAUUCCCGAUAGGUGAAGAAGCCUGGAAUGGUUCUUCACCGAAAAAACGUUAGAGGCAUGCUCUCUAACGUUGCCUAAGGAUGGGGCCGCGGCCGAUCAGGUUGUUGGUGAGGUAACGGCUCACCAAGCCUAUAACCGGUACGGGCCGUGAGAGCGGGAGCCCGGAGAUGGGCACUGAGAUAAGGGCCCAGGCCCUACGGGGCGCAGCAGUUGCGAAAACUCGCCAAUGCACGAAAGUGCGAGCGGGCUACCCCGAGUGCCGUCCGCUGAGGACGGCUUUUCCCCGCUGUAAGGAGGCGGAGGAAUAAGGAGAGGGCAAGACUGGUGUCAGCCGCCGCGGUAAUACCAGCUCUCCGAGUGGUAGGGGUGAUUAUUGGGCCUAAAGCGUCCGUAGCCGGCCUAACAAGUCUUCCGUUAAAUCCAACAACCUAAUUGUUGGGCUGCGGAAGAUACUGUUAGGCUAGGAGGCGGGAGAGGCCGACGGUAUUCCCGGGGUAGGGGUGAAAUCCUAUAAUCCCGGGAGGACCACCAGUGGCGAAAGCUGUCGGCUAGAACGCGCUCGACGGUGAGGGACGAAAGCUGGGGGAGCGAACCGGAUUAGAUACCCGGGUAGUCCCAGCUGUAAACGAUGCGGGCUAGGUGUCGGGGUGGCUACGAGCCACCCCGGCGCCGCAGGGAAGCCAUUAAGCCCGCCGCCUGGGAAGUACGGCCGCAAGGCUGAAACUUAAAGGAAUUGGCGGGGGAGCAC
This 1084-nucleotide ribosomal RNA is filed under the name uncultured archaeon. RNAcentral describes it as "bacterial SSU rRNA". It matches the Rfam family "Archaeal small subunit ribosomal RNA", at positions 5 to 879 of the family's 1478-position model. The record is from RNAcentral.